Non-coding RNA from Rattus norvegicus (Norway rat), 781 nucleotides. The record is from RefSeq and is a predicted model, not a curated record. Lineage: Eukaryota; Metazoa; Chordata; Mammalia; Rodentia; Muridae.
AUAGAACAGAACUGAUUGAAGUCAACAGAAGGUUAUUAGGCUGACCUGGGCCUCUGGUGUCACACCAGGUUUUACAAAACUGAGUGGGUGGACCACAUGGUUAGCAUGACCUUCUCUUGGUUCUACUGACCUCUUUUGAGGGUGUUGGCCCACUACUAAUUGAUGUUGGCCCCAUGCAUUGGGCUUUCAUGGAUUGUUGUAGAUCCAUGUUCUUUCUCAGAGGUGUGGACACUAAUUGGUGUCAGGCCAAGCAAACAAUUUAUUCUUCCCCGAAUUAACGCUUUAUGGUGUGUGCAGCAGCCUUAUAUGUAUGAAGAUGCAUUUUAUUAAGUCUUCAUGGGUAUCUGGGACCUGGUAGAGUUAGUGGGACUUGGUAGUAGGAAUGGGAGAAAGGAGAAGCAUGAUCUUACUAUGCAGACUGUAUUUCCAGAAACCUGCUCAGCCAGCCCCUGAUGGAGAACACAUGUAGGAAGAAGUUGGUCCCACUGAAGCAGGAGAGCAAGGAGGUACAUCUUGAUUGUGCACUGAACCAGAAAUAUUUGGUUGACUUCAACAAGAAAGAUAAAGACCAUCAAGGGCCAGACCCAGCAUCAUCUGGUCUCAGAAAGUGCAAGAGAGCUGGAAUUGGACACAUCCCAGUAAGAGAGCUUCCUGAAGAAUAAGUUGCUUUCUCAGGAGUCCCUGAUGACAAACAUCCUGAAUGAAAACAGCACUUGAGAGACAACUUGGGGGACCGCCUUUCAUUAUGUGUGCUAGAGGAGGAACAGCAAUACGUCUGUGC